Gopherus evgoodei (Goodes thornscrub tortoise) is the source of this 2035-nucleotide long non-coding RNA. RefSeq lists it as uncharacterized. The record is from RefSeq and is a predicted model, not a curated record. NCBI's taxonomy places the organism in Eukaryota, Metazoa, Chordata, Testudines, Testudinidae. The transcript is spliced from 3 exons.
AAGAUGAUGCUCAGCACGAGGGGAAGGAAGAUCCUGCUGCCAGGUAGAUGGCAUGGACACUGAUCCCGACAGGGCCGGCUGCUGAGAGCUAGGUUUCCUUUGGAUGCUCCUGAGCCUGAUCUGCCAUAGGGGAUGCCCCAAUUCACUUUUGCUUGCUUCUGUGGGCUCCACGGCUUCUGCAAGAUGAAGAGGAAAAAAGAAGAGCCCAGUGCAGAGCAGGAGACGUCAGUGUGAGACUUGUCCGGGUGUGUCACAUUUAUCCUCUCACUCACAUCGCUGGAUUCCAGCCCUGGUUUGAACUUGAGACUUGCCUGGCUUGGAAAAAAGCUGAAGCUCAGAAACGACCCUUAUAGAAGAGCCACAAACAGUAUCCUGGGUGCUAUGGUGGUUCAGCACAGAUCCCCAGUCUCAAAGGUGCUUGAUCUUGGACCGCACAGCUAUCUGUGGCAGAGAGAGAUUUUUGUCCCUUUACUGGGUAAAAGUUUCAUUCACAAGAAAGCUGUCCCUGUCUUGCUUGAAUAUGUCCCCCUGGACAGACUCUGAAGGAGAUUUCCAAAUCAAGAGCCAGGUCCUGCCCUCAGUUUCCCUGGAGUAAGUGGGCAGCAGGAUUUGGCUCUGUGUUUUUAAGUUGUCUCACUGUGGCACUGUCAACUGAAAAUGAACAAGCUGUAGAGUUUUGUUAGUAUCUCCCAAGCAAAUGUCCUGUGUCUACAAGAAGCAGUUCCUAAUACUUCUUAGACAUUUUGUGCUCAGAUGUGCUAGAUGCCAGCAUGGAGAAACCCUUAGGGAGUGGUGAAAACACACUGGGCUUUGAUUCUGCUCCCAUCGAUGCAAAUCAGGAGUCGCUCCACUGAAAUCAAUGGUGUUAGCCCAGUGGGAGAGCAGACUCAUGCUCCUUAUGUGUCUAUAUUAACUAUGGGAAGUGAAUUUUGCAGUUGGCCCCUUUCCUAUAAUGGGCAUGAAUCAAAAUCCCUGAACUCUAUGUGAAGAGAAGUUUGGAGCUGGGACCCGGAUUUCAGCUUUGGAGCUCAGGUCUCUCUCUAGCAUGUAUGCAUCCUCCAGUGGUUCUCCACCUUUCCUGUAAUGGGUGCCCUCUUCCAAUCUAGCUAUUUAGCAAUCUGCGAAAGGCAAUAUGACCACGACUCUCUGACACCUGUUCAUGUACAUGCGGUGGGUCGCAACCCCCAGGAUAAGAGCCCAUGUUCUCAAAGAAAUUGAUGUAGUUGAGAGUAUGGAAAAUGCCAGUGUUCAAAUUGUUAACUUUUUUUGCUGGAACUGCCUCACCUUAUCCAGGCAUAGCCAUUAGCAUUAGUGUAGUGCUGCAGUUUCAAAGGUUGUCCCUGUUUUCUCCCUUCUUGUCUAUACGUCUUUCCUACCUGCUGUUAAAGCCAUAUGGAAAUUCCCUGGGUGCUGUGCCUUUCAGGAGGUGUUGCAGACAGACUCUCCUCUUCAGGUACCCUAAAAUAGCCCCACUAGUUGUCACUGUGGAUCCCAGAAAGUACAUCUAUUUCAUGGCCUGAUCCAAAGAACAUUGAGGUCAGUAGAAACUCUCUUUUUGAUUUCAGUGGGUUUGGAUCAGGACCUCACUCAGGAAGGUCUUCUUGUGGUAGUGUUGGAGAUGGGCUUGAACCCAACCUUCAGCUCUGAACACCCCCCGCCUUAUGGCACUGGAAAUCCAAAUCCAACUUUAGCCCCUCAGACCGAGCUCUGGUUAAUUCAGACAGCCUCAACCCUUUCAAUCCUGAAUCCUUUGCUGCCAUCUCCAAAAUGUUCAGCUCCUGAGGCUACUAGAGUUGUGCUCUUUCGAUGAGGAUGGUCACACAGUAUUUGUAGCCCUUUCAGUCAGAAUAAACUGCAGCUGCGGCGGCUUUUGAGAACUGGUAGCAAGGCCUGAGCUGGGUGCAUGACAGAGUCAGAAAGACUAGGGCUGUCAACAUGACAGGCUGAGAUGGUAGCCAUGGAGAUCUGAGUAUCAAAGGGGUAGCUGUGUUAGUCUGGAUCUGUAAAAGCAGCAAAGAAUCCUGUGGCACCUUAU